Molecule: small nucleolar RNA, 223 nt
Filed under: Marchantia polymorpha subsp. ruderalis
Lineage: Eukaryota; Viridiplantae; Streptophyta; Marchantiopsida; Marchantiales; Marchantiaceae
Description: Plant small nucleolar RNA U3
Rfam family: Plant small nucleolar RNA U3
About the family: Small nucleolar RNAs (snoRNAs) are involved in the processing and modification of rRNA in the nucleolus. There are two main classes of snoRNAs: the box C/D class, and the box H/ACA class. U3 snoRNA is a member of the box C/D class.
Source: Rfam by way of RNAcentral
ACGACUAUACUUGAACAGGAUCUGUUCUAUAGUUCGUACAUCUUGAUCUGUGAUCUCUACCGCAGUCAAGUCCCUUAACCCGGACGAUGACCAGGGUCUUGGAUGCCGGUGCGCGAAUACCGUAGGCCGGGCGUGGUACGAACCCAUGCUCAGCUCAGCCUGAUGACCGUCCCGCCGCGCCCAUUCCGCCGGCGUUGAAGGCAUCCAAGCGUUCUGACGGGUG